Molecule: ribosomal RNA, 249 nt
Filed under: uncultured Actinomycetes bacterium
Lineage: Bacteria; Bacillati; Actinomycetota; Actinomycetes
Description: uncultured actinobacterium partial 16S ribosomal RNA
Rfam family: Bacterial small subunit ribosomal RNA
Source: RNAcentral
GACGAACGCUGGCGGCGUGCUUAACACAUGCAAGUCGAGCGAGAACCCAGGGCUUGCCCUGGGGGACAGCGGCGAACGGGUGCGUAACACGUGACCAACCUGCCCCAGACACUGGGAUAACCCCGGGAAACCGGAGCUAAUACCGGAUACUCCGCUCGAGCCUCAUGGCUCGAUCGGGAAAGGUCAGCCGGUCUGGGAUGGGGUCGCGGCCUAUCAGCUUGUUGGCGGGGUAACGGCCCACCAAGGCGA